Camelus dromedarius (Arabian camel) is the source of this 3261-nucleotide long non-coding RNA. RefSeq lists it as uncharacterized. Lineage: Eukaryota; Metazoa; Chordata; Mammalia; Artiodactyla; Camelidae. The record is from RefSeq and is a predicted model, not a curated record. The transcript is spliced from 9 exons.
AGAGAGAAAAUAUCAUUUAAGUGGGAGUCAUAUUGAAACAUGGGAAAAUAGCUAAUUCAGCUGAAAUAUCAAUGUAAUCACAAGGACAUUGUCUUAUUGACUCUUUUUUCCCCUCAUAUAACUUCCUUUGCCUUUUACCAAUCCAGCCCGAAGAGGAAUUUGAAAAGAACAAGCAAACAAACCAAAAUAAAUCAGAACAAAACAACUCUGCCUCCUUCCCAAAUGAAAAAGGCCCUCAAAAUAAUAAAUAUAAAAAGCACUGAGGAAAAUGAUCUCUUUGAAAGAAUUACAUUGCGAGAAAAUUCCUGCAGGAGAGAGGAUUGAAAAUGAGACAUGAAGUUACAACAAAAUGCCAAAUAGCAAGUUCUAUAAGGACAGCAACCCUGUACCCUGCUGAAACUCAAGCACCGAGCACAGUGCCUGGACCAUGGCAGACAUUCGUGGAGAAUCUUCAUCAACCAAAGGAAGUUCGUUAUCAAGGUUGACACUGAAUGUAACUAAAGGAGCAGUGGCAUCCUGUGAAUGUUUUUAGAUCUCAGUCGAAGUAAUUUGGACUGUGGUGGUCUCGGGUGUGCUUGUGGUGAUGAAUUCUGAGGAAGCUUCUGCAAUAACUACAGUGUUCACUGCUGGUUCGGCGAAGUAUGGAUUCUUCAAGGAAGUGGCUCACGUUCAAUUUUACAGUGACCUGAAAUAAAUCACAGGCAUAUAGUUAUUAAUCUCAGUGGGUCAUUUGCUCGCAAACGCGGCAUAUAAAAAGAACAAGAAGAUAAAUUGAGUGAGACAGAAUUCCAAGAUUGGAGAUAACCUAUAUACUGCAAGGACAAUAUAAGAAAAAUAAAAGUACGAUCUUUUUGUUACAUGAAGAUAAUGAUUACUGUCCCCUCCCAACUUAGAGAAUUGUUUGAGGAACCAAGUGAAAUGAUAUAGGGGCAAAUGCUUAAGACAGGAAAUGUGCAGAAUAUGCUUGACAGUCAGGAACGAAAAGAACAGACAAUAAACCCAGAAGUGGCAUUUUUAUAUAUCUACAAUUCAACUCCACAACUCCACAAACAAGUGAUGGUUUUAGAAGACUGAUGGACAAGAACAUGUCCCACUAUUUUGUAAUAAAGGGGGGAAAAAGCACUUUUAUCUCCAUGACCCCAUUCCAUGUCCUUGAAAAUGAAAUGGUGUUUCAUUUGAAAGACAAAUACUCAUCAAUGUGCUUAUGUGAUUUUGCAAGGAUGGUACCAAGGUUCUCUACUUCCUUUUUCUGUUUUAAGUGUUUUUAAGGACUCCAGUUAGUGGGGGGAGAAAAUCUCUCACUGCAAACAUAUACGAAUGAGGAAAAUUAGUCUGGAGAGUUUCAGGAGAGAGUACAAAUCCUAGAAGCUUAUUUAGUUAUCUGCAAAAGCAGCUACAUAAAUAAUAUUUUUCUGUUUCAUCUUAUUAUAAUAAAAAAUAUAGAUCUGACAGAUUUGGAACAAGAUGUGGUUUCACAUGGAUGCAUUCUGUGAACAAGUGAUUCAAGUGAAAAGGUGAUUGUGGUGCUUAUAUUUUAAUUUGAGAAAUAUAAAAAUAAACAGAGAUGUUCAGAAGAUAAUUGGGUAUGCCAGUCUAAAUUGAGGGGCAGAAAUUCAGAAUCACAUCUAAAUAUUUCAACAUCAUCAGACCAUAGGUGAGAAUUAAAAUUCUCAAAGUGGCAAGAUGAUAGGGGAAGAGGUAUAUAGAAGAAAAAGAGGCUGCGGAGGGACCCUAGAGGAUAUCAGUGUUACAUCUGAGCAAAAGAAAUCAAUGAAAAAAGAAAGAGAAGUAGUCCUAGGAAGAGAGAUACAAGGAGAGUACUGAGCAGUGAGACUUCAUCCCUAGGACCAAAUGCAGUCGUGCCCUUGGGGACAAGGUACAAUUGCAUCUACUGCAUUGUUGUUAAUAAUUGUAAGAGUUUUGAAAAUUGCACCUCUUGGGGAGUGAUGGAAAUGUUAGCUAUCUUGAUUGUGGCAGUGGUUUCAUUGGUGCCUACAUCUAACAAAAUUCAUCAAACUGUACAGCUGACCUAAGUGUAGAUUACUAUACAGGAACCAUACCAUAAUAAAGGUGUUAAAAAGUAAUGAUUGUGAGAGUUAGCUGAUACAGUGCGUAUUAAUCACAAGGCACAUGAUGGGCGCUCAGUAAAUUCUAGCUGUAAAAUCAUUAUUACUACUUUCAUCAUAAUCAUUCUCAUGAGAAAAGAAUAGCUUUGGAAGGGAGUGAAAAGAAAGAGAAAGCGAUGUUGGCUUUGGACUAGAAGAUCAGCACAUUUUUGGGACUGGAAGGUGAAGGUCCACGUUCAAAUUUAGAUCAACUUAUAGAAAGAUUAGACUGGGAGGUUGAUGCUUAUGGUUGAUAAAUUUGAUGUCUUCUUUGGUGAAGAAAGGGAGAUUAUUUUCUGCUAAUGAGUGAAGGAGAGAAAAUUCAAGCCCUGUGGAGAAUAAUGGAACGACUAAUGGUUUUUGAAGACCAAAAAAGGAAAUAUAGCUACCUUCUAACAACAAGAAAAUAUUCGGUAAGGAGUUUUGAGUGUUCAGUAAAUUAAAAGAUACAUAAAUAUACAGGGGGCAGUUAUAUGGUUGGGAGAUAUUUUUUUCCUUUAGAAUUUAGCUGCCUGGGUAAAAUGGCAGUGGGAGUGAAUUUUAAGGAUUUCUAGUGUUGGGGUUUUUCCAGGCAGGAUGGUUAAAGGCAGAAAGGCAGUGUGAACUAUGAAGAGAAUAGUUAAAACGAUCAAUGAUGGAGUCCAGGUAAGUAGGAAAGGAAGGCAGGCAAGUGGAAAUAAAUAGAAUGGAUUGCUGUGGUGGGAGAGGCUUGACUGAUUGGAAGAGUCUUUGAAGUGAAAUCAGAAGUCCCCAGCUUUUACUCAUUUUACCCUUCUGAAAUACAUAUGUCACAUAAUGCCUCUCAGGUGGUCUCCCACCUCAAACCAAUUGCAUAACACAGACUGCCAUGUCGUAGUAGUCUUCACUGCUUCCUGAUGCACUUUCUUUGAAUUCCUCACAUCCCUAGGUUUUCUAAAGACAUGCUUAGCUUUUUCAUGCGUUCCUGUUCCUCUACGCUUGCACCCACCUCAGUGAAUUUGCUUUACUGUUUGCUGAAAGAAGCCAUCAGAAAGAUGUGACAGUCAGUUGACCCACAAGGGAGGUAGGGAGGCUCUUUGCCCCCUCCCCUGGGCAUUCUGCUUGCCUUCCAUGAUGCCCAGAAACCGCUCCAAGGAUACAGCCUUGAAACAGAAAUGUGCUGUUGACGCUAUUUCAA